RNAcentral lists this ribosomal RNA (468 nucleotides) under uncultured bacterium. RNAcentral describes it as "partial 16S ribosomal RNA". It matches the Rfam family "Bacterial small subunit ribosomal RNA", at positions 28 to 507 of the family's 1533-position model. The record is from RNAcentral.
GACGAACGCUGGCGGCGUGCUUAACACAUGCAAGUCGAACGGAAAGGCCCUGCUUUUGUGGGGUGCUAGAGUGGCGAACGGGUGAGUAACACGUGAGUAACCUGCCCUUGACUUUGGGAUAACUUCAGGAAACUGGGGCUAAUACCGGAUAGGAGCUCCUGCUGCAUGGUGGGGGUUGGAAAGUUUCGGCGGUUGGGGAUGGACUCGCGGCUUAUCAGCUUGUUGGUGGGGUAGUGGCUUACCAAGGCUUUGACGGGUAGCCGGCCUGAGAGGGUGACCGGCCACAUUGGGACUGAGAUACGGCCCAGACUCCUACGUGAGGCAGCAGUGGGGAAUAUUGCACAAUGGGCGGAAGCCUGAUGCAGCAACGCCGCGUGCGGGAUGACGGCCUUCGGGUUGUAAACCGCUUUCGCCUGUGACGAAGCGUGAGUGACGGUAAUGGGUAAAGAAGCACCGGCUAACUACGUG